Long non-coding RNA from Orcinus orca (killer whale), 1004 nucleotides. RefSeq lists it as uncharacterized. The record is from RefSeq and is a predicted model, not a curated record. The transcript is spliced from 4 exons. Lineage: Eukaryota; Metazoa; Chordata; Mammalia; Artiodactyla; Delphinidae.
CUAACUGGAAAAUUCCAAGCCUAAUCUUUCCUCACCCCCAUUUCAGUUAUUCAGCAACAUUCAACGAGUAUGUGUUGAACACCUACAAAAUUCCAAGGUCUGGAGAUCCACUGAUGAACAAAACAGAGCCUUAUGCUUGCAGAACUUGUGUUCUAGUGGAAAGAUACAGAUAAUAAAUAUAACAGGGACCUGACUGAUAGAUUGGAUGCCGGUUGUGAAUGAAAGUGGAGUUAAGGAUGACUUCUUUGGCUGCAAGACCCAGGGUUCACCAGGUCCUCCCCUUCUAUACAACUUUGUGCCCCAAACCUGGCCAAGGCGACUUUGGGAGCUUCGUUCCCCUUGGCAGUACCCGAACUGCAUAGAGCUUCUAAGGAGUAGAAGCCCAUCCCCUUGACCAAGAAGAUCUGCUUAGCGGGAGAUGGAGGAAAGUUGCAAGGAGAGCCAGACGGGCCGAGUGUCCACUCCUCUGCCUGCCCUGCUGGAGAUCAUUGCUGAACUGCAGGUGGCUGAACACUGGCCAAGAGAGACAUGGUUCCACAAAGGUUGGUUGCUCUGUGACCCUGGACUAGACCUUGAGACACUUUCAGCUUCUCCCCUCUCCACAUGAAGGACAGGCAUGGUCAACCAAGCAAGUUUCUCAGGUACCUUAAACUGGUGGAUCAAGUGUGAACAGUAAGUCCUAAACCUGCCAGCCUGGAGGCUGGAGCUUGAGAACCCCAGUGGGAACGCACAAUCCGCCCCCAGCUUGGAGAGGUGAGAUUCCCUAUAGCAAGGUCAAGAGACAGGAUGUGACUGUGGAGAAGGCUCUGCACUGGGGUCACCUGGUCGCAGUUUCCAACCCCUGCAAACUCUAGUGCAGGACCCGCAGACUCACGGCACCUCAGUGAUGGCAUCUGUGAAGUGGGAAGGUUGAACGCUUGCAGCUGAUGUUCCCUUGGGAAGCCCUAGGCGUGCAGGCCUCCUUUUCCCUUGGUCUCCUCACCUAGAAGGCAGCAGGGUGCAGA